Molecule: long non-coding RNA, 1227 nt
Filed under: Dromaius novaehollandiae (emu)
Lineage: Eukaryota; Metazoa; Chordata; Aves; Casuariiformes; Dromaiidae
Description: lncRNA (ENSDNVG00000007530.1)
Source: RNAcentral
UCCCAGUUCGCCAUCGCCAUGGCUCCCCGCUGUCCCUGGGAUGAGGACGCCCCCGGCACRGGGCACCCCUACCUUCCUCAGGGGCGUGGUAGGCUGCCAGGGCAUUAAGCAUGUCGUAGAUGACGUCCUUGAUUGGCUCGGGGAUGACAGGCAGCGCCGCUGGCUUCACCGGCGUCGUCUUCACCAGCUGCACGGCGUUGGGGCCCUUGAUCCGCAGGUUCUCAAACUCGUCGUCGGAGGCGGUGCCAGUGCAGUCGAUGAUGCUGCUCAGCUUGGGGGUCCGCUCCAGGUGCACGAUGGAGGUGAGGGUCCGCAGCGAGGCCGCCUUGAUGUCCUGGGGGAGGCGGGGAGGCGAUGGGGUGCCGGACGAGUGCCCUGGGGCACCACAGCGGCACUGGGGGGGGGACGGCCAGCCCCGGGGACCCACCAUAAGCUGCUUGUCUGUGAUCUGCAGCACGUCCACGAGCUCCUCGAUGAGGCCGUUAUACAGGAUGCUGUUAGCCGAYUCCUGCAAGGCGUUGGAGUACACUGCGGAGUGGAGACGAGGUGGGUCAUCUCACGCYGGGGGGCCCGGUGUCCCAGCACCCCCACAACCCCCUCCUACCAGCRGUACCUAGUAUGGAAAUGGCGUGCAGCCGGGCCUGCACUGCCUGCAGCCGCUUCUUGUGGUUGGAGAAGCCGUGGGCCAGGCGGAUGUGGGUGAAGAGCAGCAUCUGUGGGGCGCAGCACAGGGUCAGCAGCUGCCCCUGGCGCGCGGCCGCGGGGGGCCGCCCCGGCCCCACACUAACCUGCUUGUCUUUGGGGAUGCUGUACAUCUUGGUGAGCGACUCCAUGAUCUCAGACGGGCUCUCCGAAAUCUGCAGGGAGGGGAAGGGGGGAUCAGUGGGGCACCUGUCAGACCCCUCUCCCCCACGCCCGCCAGCAGCAGCCCUGGCACUCGCCUUGUCCAGCUGCUCGAUGUGGAUGUAGUGUAGCGUGGUGCUGGUGGCCUGCAGAAAGAAGACAGCUGGUGAGGGGCAGCCGCACGGCACCGGGGGCCUGUGGCCCCGUGGUGGGGGGUCACGGCAGCCCCGCAGACGCUCACCCGUUUGUCCACCUUGACCUCGGCGCCUGGCUCAGCGUAGAACUCGAAGUGCAGCGUGGUGGCGCUCGGCGGGUACUUCUGCACCAGCGGCAGGGACGAAAACGAACGGCGGUGGGGGGACAGCACCAGGGCAGCGAGCAGCC